RNAcentral lists this ribosomal RNA (407 nucleotides) under uncultured bacterium. RNAcentral describes it as "partial 16S ribosomal RNA". It matches the Rfam family "Bacterial small subunit ribosomal RNA", at positions 28 to 526 of the family's 1533-position model. The record is from RNAcentral.
GACGAACGCUGGCGGCGUGCCUAAUACAUGCAAGUAGGACGCAGUUGCGAACGGGUGAGUAACGCGUAGGUAACUACCUAUUAGAGGGGGAUAACUAUUUGAAACGAUAGCUAAUACCGAAUACUAGUCGCUGGACCUGCGUUGUAUUAGCUAGUAGGUAGGGUAAUGGCCUACCUAGGCAACGAUACAUAGCCGACAGGAGAGGGGGAUCGGCCAAACUGGGACGUGGACACGGCCCAGACUCCUACGGGAGGCAGCAGGAGGGAAGCUUCGGCAAGGGGGGGAACCGUGACCGAGCAACGCCGAGUGAGUGAAGAAGGUUUUCGGAGCGUAAAGCUCUGUUGUUAAUGAAGCGGUACUUAACCAGAAAGGGACGGCUAACUACGUGCCAGCAGCCGCGGUAAUAC